GACGAACGCUGGCGGCGUGCUUAACACAUGCAAGUCGAGCGGUAAGGCCCUUUCGGGGGUACACGAGCGGCGAACGGGUGAGUAACACGUGGGUGACCUGCCCUCAGCUCUGGGAUAAGCCUGGGAAACCGGGUCUAAUACUGGAUAUGACUCCAUGACGCAUGUUGUGGGGUGGAAAGCCUUGUGCGGCUGAGGAUGGGCCCGCGGCCUAUCAGCUUGUUGGUGGGGGAUGGCCUACCAAGGCGACGACGGGUAGCCGGCCUGAGAGGGCGACCGGCCACACUGGGACUGAGACACGGCCCAGACUCCUACGGGAGGCAGCAGUGGGGAAUCUUGCGCAAUGGGCGAAAGCCUGACGCAGCGACGCCGCGUGAGGGAUGACGGCCUG
This 388-nucleotide ribosomal RNA is filed under the name uncultured bacterium. RNAcentral's name for it is "bacterial SSU rRNA". It matches the Rfam family "Bacterial small subunit ribosomal RNA", at positions 28 to 418 of the family's 1533-position model. The record is from RNAcentral.